UUAAAAAUUGUGCUAUCCUUCGGUAUGACCU
Molecule: small RNA, 31 nt
Filed under: Bombyx mori (domestic silkworm)
Lineage: Eukaryota; Metazoa; Arthropoda; Insecta; Lepidoptera; Bombycidae
Description: ovarian small RNA-36297
Source: RNAcentral